Molecule: ribosomal RNA, 253 nt
Filed under: uncultured bacterium
Lineage: Bacteria
Description: partial 16S ribosomal RNA
Rfam family: Bacterial small subunit ribosomal RNA
Source: RNAcentral
AACGUAGGUUCCGAGCGUUAUCCGGAUUUACUGGGCGUAAAGCGCGUUCAGGCGGUUUGGCAAGUCGGGCAUGAAAUCUCUCGGCUCAACCGGGAGAGGUUGUCCGAUACUGCUGGACUUGAGGGCAGUAGAGGGUGGUGGAAUUCCGGGUGUAGUGGUGAAAUGCGUAGAUAUCCGGAGGAACACCAGUGGCGAAAGCGGCCACCUGGACUGUACCUGACGCUAGCACGCGAAAGCUAGGGGAGCGAACGGG